Canis lupus familiaris (dog) is the source of this 1219-nucleotide long non-coding RNA. RefSeq lists it as uncharacterized. NCBI's taxonomy places the organism in Eukaryota, Metazoa, Chordata, Mammalia, Carnivora, Canidae. The transcript is spliced from 2 exons. The record is from RefSeq and is a predicted model, not a curated record.
GCUGGCCACUGACCGCAGGACCCCGCAGCGCCGAGAACAUUAGGCCCUUCCUGUGUAGCUGAAGCCAGGCCAUCCCGGGUGACCAGGGGGCCUCAGGGCCAUGGCCUGGGGCAGGCACCUUGACUGAGCUCCCUGAAGGAAGGGCCCUCUGGCAACCUGGAUGAGGGGCCUGGGCUCUGGUCCCAGCUCUGUCUCAUGGGCGGAAGCCGGCGACCCCUCCACUGAGCUCAGACUUCUCAGCACAGGGUGCUGCCCGGAGCACCCGAGGGAGGUGGUGCGCGCGGAAGAAGCUAAGGCAGGGGCUCGCCCCCAGCGGGCCCUCUACACCGGCUUCUGCCCCCCGCCCUAGGCAGGAGGCCCGUUCCAGCUCUCCCGGCCGCCGGCCCCAGGGAGGGGAGGGGGGGCAAGUGAAGAGAGGCGGCCUGCGUGCAAAAAGAGGGAGUGGAGGAGCUCCGGUAAGGGUGCUCCAGUCCCCGGGAGGGGAUGCGGCAGAGCGGGCAGCUGGGAUUCGGUCCAAGUACUUCAGGUAGCCUCCCUGUCCAUCCGGAUGACAUAAGGAAGAUUUUAAGGCUGAAAUGCAAGGCAGUGGACACCUGUGCGCCAUCCGACUCCCGGAUUAGGCAGCAGUACCUGGCUAUCCUGGGAAAACAAGACAAGGGCCUGGAUGUGCUCCAAGGAAAUGUUCAAAGCUCAAUGCAAAUGCAAAGGCUGGUCAGCAAAGGUCUCAUUAAUGAGGUCAGAAAACCAGAGUGACUGUGGUCUGUGGCGAUCUGUACUAACAUGCAGAGAAGGCGGCUGCCAGCCUGGACUGGAGCCGGAAACAUACAUUUGCUGUGUCCAGUCCCUAAUGUCUGCAUUUCAGAGUUUGGCUGGCUUUGAGUUUGCUGCAGCAAAGAAGACAUAUUUCCAAUGUGACUGGGAAGAGAAGACCCGGGACUGGCCAGAAGCUGGAGGGAGAAAGGAAGAGCCCUGGCAAGGAUUUUAAAGAACCGACUGCAAUGAAUAGCUUUAACCUGCUACCUGGCUGUGUCCCGGUGGACUCUCUUGGGGUCUCCUCCAUUUUGCAUUUUUCAGGCUGGCUGCACUCAGUCAUUCUAAAAAGAAGGAGAAAUUGAUGGGAGUAGGGUGGGAAGAAUGAAAAAAAAAAAUCCUAGCAUCCCACAGCUGAGUUGUUUGCUCACCCAAUAAAUAUUUCUUGAGUGCCUACUGUGUGCCAGAA